UAAAAAUAAAUCUUUAAAAACAAAAAGUUGGAAUGAUUCAGAGAAGACUCGCAUGGCCCCUGGGCAAGGAUGACACACAAAUUCAUGAAGCAUUUGAUAUUUUU
Small nuclear RNA from Talpa occidentalis (Iberian mole), 104 nucleotides. Lineage: Eukaryota; Metazoa; Chordata; Mammalia; Eulipotyphla; Talpidae. The record is from RefSeq and is a predicted model, not a curated record.